Molecule: small nucleolar RNA, 85 nt
Organism: Papaver somniferum (opium poppy)
Lineage: Eukaryota; Viridiplantae; Streptophyta; Magnoliopsida; Ranunculales; Papaveraceae
Product: small nucleolar RNA R12
Exons: 1
Source: RefSeq, a predicted model, not a curated record
GUUGGGAUGAUGAAAAAAAACCAAAUCAGUCGGAUUCGCAUUGAUUUUCGUUAACAUGAUCACAAACCAGCUACUUCUGACUAAA